This 75-nucleotide transfer RNA is filed under the name Candidatus Wildermuthbacteria bacterium RIFCSPLOWO2_01_FULL_47_18. RNAcentral's name for it is "tRNA-Gly". It matches the Rfam family "tRNA". Rfam says of the family: Transfer RNA (tRNA) molecules are approximately 80 nucleotides in length. Their secondary structure includes four short double-helical elements and three loops (D, anti-codon, and T loops). Further hydrogen bonds mediate the characteristic L-shaped molecular structure. tRNAs have two regions of fundamental functional importance: the anti-codon, which is responsible for specific mRNA codon recognition, and the 3' end, to which the tRNAs corresponding amino acid is attached (by aminoacyl-tRNA synthetases). tRNAs cope with the degeneracy of the genetic code in two manners: having more than one tRNA (with a specific anti-codon) for a particular amino acid; and 'wobble' base-pairing, i.e. permitting non-standard base-pairing at the 3rd anti-codon position. The record is from RNAcentral. RNAcentral also lists the same sequence under 2 other names. Lineage: Bacteria; Candidatus Wildermuthiibacteriota.
GCGGGCGUCGUAUAGCGGCUAUUAUGCUACCUUGCCAAGGUAGCGACGGCGGUUCGACUCCGCUCGCCCGCUCCA